GCCCAUUUGUGCCGAGAAAGAUCCAAGAGGACGCCUCGAAAUUGUGUGGCUGUAAUUAUCGGCAGCGUGCAAAUAAUGACUUUGGACUCGGCUGGUUUUGUGCAGUAAUUAACAGGUGGCUAGCUUUCACUGCAGCAUUUCGCAACAGCUACUGAAGGAAAUGCUGGCAUCUUGGUAGCAUAUUAAAUAUUGAAACAAAGGCUGUGCAAAGGCCUUCGGCCCUGACCCUACCAUUAGCCAAUAUGUGCCAGCUUCGGUACGCAAUGGUAAUGAUGCUAUUUAGUGCACGCAUUAAGGUUUUGCAGGCCAUUAGGAGUCAGUUUCUUUUCAUUCAGGUGUUGAAUCCGUUUUUCCUGAGCUGUGAGGAGAUCUUUGUCAAGUUCUGAGACUUCAUUCCCGGGGGUCCCAUACAUAGGAGGGAUGGAGCUCAGGUCAUCAGGUUUGCCUUGCAGACGGUCUUUCCCCAUUAGUCCACUCCAUGGUGUCAGCCCUGAUAUUUCAAAGACAGAAACCAGCUCUUCUCUGAAGCCUGUGGGAGAUCCACCCAGGGCUCACAAUCCUUUCCCCACAGUUCUACUAGGACACCACAUUCUACACACGCACUUCAGGCCUGGCAUCAUCCAUCUUCAAAGAGGUCCUUCAACACCUUUCAAAUGGCACCGUAGUCUAAGCAGGACCACCAUCCACAGGCGCAAUGAGAAAACCUGAUCUACUGUGACAAAUCUGAGUGGCGCUGCCCUACUGCCUUCAAGAGAGACUGAGAAGGCAAUUGAAUCGACCUCUGAAGUAAUCCUGCCUCCCGCUGGAAGACCAGGCAGCACCUUCAUCCUGGGUACUGAGAAUGCUGUGUGGGUUGCUGCAAUAAAUCUUUUUGCCACCCUUCCAUGAAAGCCUGUCACUUCUCUGCCCUUUGUUUGAUGGAUGCCCCUGGCUCCCAAUGCUAUAAAUGUUGAGUAGAUUCUAAUUGAUUAUGUGAGGCCAAGAGCUUUCGUAAAGGAGACUCAUGGGGUGAGGUUCUUGAGUGAGCUCUAAUUGUCAAGUGCAUUUUAAAACAGAAUUCAGGGAAUAAUGAAUAUUCACCAACAUUUUAAAUAAUUUAAUAUGAAGUUAUAUUGGUGCAAUAACUAGUUUUAUACUGUGUUUGCUUUUUAUUAUCAUUUUAAUUGACAAAUUGUAUACAUUUUUGUGGUAUACAGCAUGGUUUUCUGAGAUCUCUGUCUUUCUCUGUCUCUCUGUCUCUCUCUCUCACACACACACACAUACACACACACAUUGUGAAAUAACUGUAUAAUCAAAUUAAGCUAAGCAGCAAGGACAUUUUCUCAUGUGUGUGUAUUGCUAGCUACAGCCAUGUCAUUGUAUAACAGGCCUCUUGAACUUGUUCUUUCUGCCUGAUUCAAAUCUCUGUCCUUUGGUCAGCCUCUCCCCAUCUGACCUCCUCUAACCCUCUAAUCCUUGGUUGCCAUCAUGCUACUCACUACUUCUGUGAGUUUGACUUACAUGAAUGUUACACAAAAAUAGGAUCAUGAAUAUUUGUCUGUCUAUGACUGGCUAAUUUUACUUAAGGCACUGUCCACAGAUUCAUGGACAUGGUCACAUACAUGCACACAAAUU
Mesocricetus auratus (golden hamster) is the source of this 1614-nucleotide long non-coding RNA. RefSeq lists it as uncharacterized. The record is from RefSeq and is a predicted model, not a curated record. Lineage: Eukaryota; Metazoa; Chordata; Mammalia; Rodentia; Cricetidae. The transcript is spliced from 3 exons.